This 582-nucleotide ribosomal RNA is filed under the name Triticum aestivum (bread wheat). RNAcentral describes it as "partial small subunit ribosomal RNA". Lineage: Eukaryota; Viridiplantae; Streptophyta; Magnoliopsida; Poales; Poaceae. The record is from RNAcentral.
AUGUGGACCUGUCUUCGUCAGCGCUAUGAGCCCUCUGGUGAUGCCUUAUACCUUUCUGUGGUCCGUUAGGAGCAUGCUCUUCAGCAGGGUGACUCUACUGUUGAUGACUUCUAUGCACAGAGUUCGGCUAUCUGGCGCCAGCUUGACUCUCUCCGCAGUGCUGGUUGUCGUACUUGCCCCUGUUGCCAUGCUGUCCAGGCCAAUUUGGAGUUUCAUCGCGUCUACGAGUUCCUGUCUCGGCUUCGUAAGGAGUUUGAGCCCCGGCGUACUGAGUUGUUUGCUCGUGGACGUAUUUCUCUCAUGGAGGCGUUUUCUGAGAUUCGUGCUGAGGAGACUCGCUUACGUGGUGCUGGUUUGCUGGAGGUUUCCUCUGUGCUCGCUACUCGGGCUUCUUCCACGCCACCUGCUGCACCGACCCCUUCUCGCUCGAGUGCUCCACCGCUCUUGCCCACUCCUUCUGGAGGCUCAGGUCGCCCUCGUCCACAUUGCGACUACUACAACGAUGAUGGUCAUAUUGAGUCCAGAUACACGAAGAGGAAACACCUGCGCAAGGCGCGAUCAUCAUCUUAAGGGACUUCGUCA